Coturnix japonica (Japanese quail) is the source of this 654-nucleotide long non-coding RNA. RefSeq lists it as uncharacterized. The record is from RefSeq and is a predicted model, not a curated record. Lineage: Eukaryota; Metazoa; Chordata; Aves; Galliformes; Phasianidae.
ACAGUGCUCAUCCAGACUACAGAUGGAGAAGAGUGAGGAGAGGAUUACUUCUCACCUUCUGUCUAAAGAUCAAGACAUACUCAUCUCACUCAGUCAUCUCCAGUGGCAUGUUGAAGUGUACCUGCUCUAAAGCUUGCUAUAAAAACUGGAAUGAGUGGACUGCCUCAUCAGCUGCAGAUCCCAGUCAGGAGGAAGAAGACAAAAGUAAUCAUAAAGCAGAGGAAGACAUUUGGAAAAAAUGCGUUCCUUCUAUGAGCAGGCUUUGUUGUCACAAGUACUGUGCUGACAAUGAGAUCUUUAGAAGAGCUCUAUUUCUAUCACACCAUGUAGUAUUCCUCAGGAAUUAGUAAAUUCACUCAGGAAAUAAACCAAAAGAUUCCCUACUAUCAUUUUUUGUAGUACUUCUCUGGAUAAUUUUUAAUCUUUUAUUCUAUGGAAAACUUAAAAUGAAGACAAAGAAAGAAAGAAAAAGAUUUUUCUUCUUUCCUUCUUUUUUUACAGAGCAAUAAGGAAGAUGAUGGAUUAAAGCAGAUGCAGACUGUUUGCAGUUAUAUAAGACUAUUAGGGACUCUGCUUGUUCUGGCUUUUGUAAUUUGUCCAUGUCCUACUUUAUAUAACUCAAUCCAUUGUGAGUAAAAACAUGAAAUACCAGAA